RNAcentral lists this ribosomal RNA (243 nucleotides) under uncultured Thermus sp. RNAcentral describes it as "partial 16S ribosomal RNA". It matches the Rfam family "Bacterial small subunit ribosomal RNA", at positions 1140 to 1382 of the family's 1533-position model. The record is from RNAcentral. Lineage: Bacteria; Thermotogati; Deinococcota; Deinococci; Thermales; Thermaceae.
CUAACGGGACUGCCCGCGAAAGCGGGAGGAAGAGGGGACGACGUCUGGUCAGCAUGGCCCUUACGGCCUGGGCGACACACGUGCUACAAUGCCCACUACAAAGCGAUGCCACCCGGCAACGGGGAGCUAAUCGCAAAAAAGGUGGGCCCAGUUCGGAUUGGGGUCUGCAACCCGACCCCAUGAAGCCGGAAUCGCUAGUAAUCGCGGAUCAGCCAUGCCGCGGUGAAUACGUUCCCGGGCCUU